This is a non-coding RNA of Equus caballus (horse), 1691 nucleotides long. The record is from RefSeq and is a predicted model, not a curated record. Lineage: Eukaryota; Metazoa; Chordata; Mammalia; Perissodactyla; Equidae.
CUCGUGGAGCUUAUACUCCAGUGAGGGAGAAAGACUUGAGUUGAAUCAUCACCUUAAAUGAAUGGAUGAUUACAAAAUAAGAUAAGUGCUGUUGUGGCAGGGGUUCUAGUAGUCCCUCAAUGUCCAUUGUCCCCUUCCUUAUGAGUAAUAGAACUUUCCAUUUCCAGAUGGUUACCUGGAAUAAGGACUACAUUUACCAGCCUUCCUGCAACUAGACAUGCCAUAUGGUAAACUCUGACCAAUGGGAUGUAAGCAGAAGUGGGCAUUUUGGCUGUGGUGCUGAUCAUGGGCUUCUUCCAGAAAUUUGUGACAGGUGGCAUCUCUGAGAAUGAAUGGAAAAGACUGUGCUCCAGACCAAAGCUGUAAGCAGUAGCUACUCUGUCCACAACCUCCAUCUGGGAAAAAUCACUUAGACAAAGGAUCUUUUAUGGAGAAGAUAAUCUACUUCCAUUGGCAGCCCUUGAUGAGCAAGCCACCAGGUGGAACCAGUAAAACGUGAAGGACUGAAGCCGAUUGGUCAAGAGAUGGACGCCUUAUUCGAAGGGAGUCAAUCCACCAACAGGUCCGCUAUUUGUGGGUUUUGUGGCCAAGUUGGGAAAGAUGAGCUUGACCUAACAUAUUCUCCUCUCAAGAAAUAACACACCUUGUCCAAUCCAAGGUAGCCAAUUGAAUGGAAACGCUGUGAAGUAUCACGGCUGGGGCAGGAUGUUUGCCGGCAUGUGCAAGACUGAGUCAAGAAGAAAUAAGACCCGGAGGAAGACAGUUGCAAGGGAGCUAGAAGAAAGCUGAGCAGUUGCACCUUCAGCAGCAGAAAAACCAUCAGAGAGACAGAGAGGGUCGCUGGUCCCAAGAUGACCGGCUCCUGUCCUCUCUGAGGCUCCUGGUUCGUUUUUGCUUUCCUCAGAUUUUUUGAUCUUUAUGUUAAACCUUCGUUUUACUUGUGCUAUUUCCAGCAUGUUUCUUUUUCCUGCAAUCAAAAGAACUCUGACUAGAACACAGCGUUGGUGACACAGAGGCAAAAUGGUUGCUUUCAUACGUGUGGAGGCCAGUGUCAGACACCUUAAAAAAGCAGAUUCAGCAAUUCUACAUCUUGUUCUUGAUGCUCAGGAUAAAAUCGCAGAACUGGAUGGGACAUAUCACUUCAUUGAGUGUUCACCACGUGUACUGAUGCUUUACACAUCAAAUCAUUUUAUCCUCACAACAAACGGAGAUUAGAAAAUUCCUAUGCUUGUUCUAUAGAUGAAGAAAUUGACGCACCAAGAAGCAUGGCAGAGACAGGGUUGCUCAUCCAACAUUCUACCUGCUCCCCCACACUUCCCAGCCCCUUACCCUUGGGCAAGGCCAGAGGCGCUGGCAGAGUAAAGCCUGUGUGUGAUUCUCCAGCUCUUCUCUUCCCCUGCAUGGUGCCCAGAAAGGCAGUGCCCACACAGGGCGGUGGACAGGGUAGCACAGCCUCUAUCAACCUGGUACCUCGAGUGUCUCCCAGAGCAGAGCCUCCGCUUCCUCCACCAGCCCACUUUGCAUAUUGGAUAUGCACUGUAAAUAAGAAAUAAAUCUUUGUUUGUUGUGCUACCAAGAUUUCAGUGUUUGUUUUGUUGUUUUGUUUUAACUGUAGCACAACCUGGCUACUCUAACAUAUCCAAGAGGGUCUGGGUAACUUACCCAAGGGGACACAGCUAGUACAUGGCAGA